This is a non-coding RNA of Prunus avium (sweet cherry), 560 nucleotides long. The record is from RefSeq and is a predicted model, not a curated record. NCBI's taxonomy places the organism in Eukaryota, Viridiplantae, Streptophyta, Magnoliopsida, Rosales, Rosaceae.
GCGGUGAGUUUGAUAGUUUUCUACUGUUAUGUCAUGGAUUUUGCAGCAUGCUCCCUUUCAACUAUCCUCGGAUGCUUAUGCAUGAUCUCUUGGAGCUUCUAACUUCUAACUUCAAAUAACGUAGCCAAAACCACGAGGCAAUCGCUUCACUGAGUUCUGCACUGCAACCUUCACAUAAUGCAGUUAUCUGUUGCGGCUCGAUGCAGUUUUUCCUUCGAAAGCCUUGAAGAACUUAUUGAGCUGAAGCUUUUAUGUUUGUUUUUUCAUAGAAGCAUUCUUUUGUCGGACUAUCAAUCAAGGUUAUUGGUUUGGCAGGUCAUAUCAGUACGUAGUCAGCAUGAAAGUUUGGCCACAUAACAUUUCAAACUACUUUUUAAAGAACGUUUCUUGGCUUUUAGACCAUCCAUAGGCAAAAUCUGUUCAAAUUAUAGAUUAGAUUUGGUGAUGUAAAAUAUAUCUUACAUUUAUUUCUUGUAUCGAAGUAAUGUCAGUCCGGACCAAAAAGAGGCUCAUGGCAGUUUAUAUUCAUGAUUUUGGCUAAAUCCAUAUUGAUAUCAUAC